AACUUAUGCUGGCCCGCCGAAAUAUUUUUGCCAAAAGUUAAACUUCCCACUUCUUUUUCCCGUACAAAACCAUUAUGUAUAUAAACCUAAAUUCUGCCGAAAACCCACAAGCUCUAUCAGAGCCUCCAAUCUACCGCCGCGUCUAAGCCUUAGCUAGAGUAGAGAUGAAGGUUGUUGCCGCAUAUUUGCUCGCUAUUUUGGGCGGCAACGCCAGCCUCUCAUCCAAGGACUUGAAGACCAUUCUCGCCUCCCUUGAAUUAACUGAACGAAAAAUUUGAACUGAUUCAAUUGGAAUUGUAAUUGCGUAGCCAUAUUAGUUAUCGUUGGAUCUGUCACUCGGUGAUGGCUGAUCUCCGGGCACUUCCUAGCCAGAAACAAACAUCGGUUUUUGUCCCCGUAUUAUGCACGACCGAUUAAUUUGCUUAAGGGCAGAGUUGUGGGACGAAGUUUUAUGGAGGGUUAAGAAUUCAUGGGAAGAAGAGCAGGUCUCAAUUCCAUGUUGCCAAUGUUGCCAUUGAAGUCAAUCCUUCUGAAUAGUUUCUCACCACUCUUACGAUUGAUCAACCUGCUCCUGGCCUAAAGGCAAUUCUCCGCUUCAAACUUCCUGAUCAGAGGUCCGACAAGAUAGAAAAACUCAGUGGAGUCAGAAAUUGGAAGAAGGACAAGUGAUCUCACGAGGAAUUUUCUUAGUGGUAAUAUACUGAGUGAAUGGGCUUCUGCAAAGUUGGAAUAUAUGUCCUUUUAUGUGAACAACUUAACUGGACCAAUCUCUGCCUUCUUGGGAUACAUCAGCACUCUAAAAUACUUGAACCUUGAGACUAACAUGUUUUCUGGAACUGUUCCUCCUGAGCUUGGGAAGUUGGUUAACUUGCAAAAUCUGAACUGCAUGAGAGAAUAUUAGUAUGAAGGCUUGAAUGUGCAAUAUUGAAACAUUGCUCAUAUUUGGAUAAGAGAACGUACAGUAUACUAUGACACUAUCUUAAAAGCAGUCCUCUCUCAUUGUGAUAUUGAGGUGGAUGCUCUUAUUGGUCAUGAGGAGAUAAUGAUCACAAGAAGUCAUUUUGGGAUGGGAAAGACAGGAAUGAGUCAAGUGAAAUCUCUUGGUUUUUCUUUUUGUGUGUUUUGUUCUCAUUGCUUUUUGAAUCAACACUUUAUGAUGACAUUUUUUAGGGAUUUUUUUUAUCUAAGUUAAAUGGUAUUAUUGAGUUUUCAUAUGUUAUGUGAUGGUUAAAUGAUGAUUAAUUUUUUUUGAACCAUAUACCAUAUUUUUCCAUAUUUACUUGUCAGCAUAAAUGAUUGGUCAAAUUGCAUUGUUAUAAUUGCUAGUUCAAUGCACGACAUGAUCAGUGACUAUAUUGCCCAGUACUUUAUUCUAUAAGCAUGAACUUUUGGUUAUCAUGGCUUUGUUUAGCCUAAACCUGAAAAUGCUCAUGGUUUGCUCCUUGAAUUUGUUUCAGACUGUUCAUGAAGGACGCAUAUAUCAACUAAAACUGUUCUGUGACAAAGAUUAUCCAGAGAAGCCACCAAGUAUACGAUUUCAUACACGCAUCAACUAUUGCACUGUUUUGAAAUGUUCUUUUAUUUUAAUAUAUGCGGGGACAUGCUGGUGCAGCUAUCGCAUAUGGGUCUCUUCUUCCCCACCAUGCUUCUUUUAUGUUAUUGUAGAAUAGUCGUCAAGAUUCCCAACGAAUAACUGCAAUGUGUUAAGUUCUUGCCAGAAAUGGAUCUAUAUGUAGGGUGAUUCUUCAAAUAGAAAUAAUGGUCUGUUGCAGCCAGAACUUAUAUUUCCGUCCCAUGUCAUGAACUUUCAGUCUUAAUAACAUAUUUUCAUGUCUUAGGUGUUGAAGUCCCAGAAUCUGUGAUGAACUUGACUUCGAAAAGGGGUUCUUUAGCAAGAAAGGCAAGAACGAAUGCAGAAAGCAUUGUAAGAGACCAGGCAGGAAUGGCAAGAGAGCGGUUUCAGAUCACUGCAAAACCAGGAUGUGAUCUUGGACAGAAAUGGUUGGAAAGACUUGACGAGGAAGAAAAUUAUCUAUUGACCGAAGAUUAGUAGAGUAUUCAUUAAGUUAUUUUUUCUAGUUCAUUUUGUAGUCGCUUAAGACUUAUUUUGUAUGUAUAUUAAUGUAUUUUAGUAAGUAAUAUAGUCCUUUUGGUGGUUUUCAGAUG
This is a long non-coding RNA of Rosa chinensis, 2166 nucleotides long. RefSeq lists it as uncharacterized. The record is from RefSeq and is a predicted model, not a curated record. NCBI's taxonomy places the organism in Eukaryota, Viridiplantae, Streptophyta, Magnoliopsida, Rosales, Rosaceae. The transcript is spliced from 10 exons.